CACACACACGCACGCACCGUUUUCUGACUGGUAUCGUCACUACGCAUUAAGUCAUCCCUUCAUCGAGUUAUCUACCAAAAAGAAAGGCAGCCCGGGGUCCGCGUUCCACACAGCGCUGCGCUAACCGGGCUGCUUCGCGCCGCGCCGCGCCGGCAGCACCGCGGCAACCCGCAGCGGAGCGCCGCUUCCCGCAGCGCGACGCCGCGCGCCCCGGCCCUCCCCGUACAGCCGCAUCCCGCAGGUGCACGGCGGCGCCCACGGAGCCCUGAGCCCGGCAACCACACGCUUACGUGUAGAUGAUGGACAUGAAGUGCAUGAGCCACAGCACGACAAAGAGGAUCAGACCGAAGAUAGCGAGUCCCUCAAGGGCCAGCGCCAGCACCGCCAUCCUCGAGGCGCGGCGGCUGCGGAGCCGCGAACGGAUAGGAGGGAGGAACGGAGGGACGCGUCACCCCGGCCCGGCGGCGAGCGCGGCUGCCGCACUACGGAGCGCGGCGCGGCCCGGCCUGCCCCCGCCUUUCUGCCAGGCGCGGGCCCCGCCUGCCGGGGGCGGAGAGUGGUUGUGGCCGUUACAGCGCCGCCCCGCGCCUGCGCGACCUUGGGGCGUCCGCGGCCGUGAUUUGCGAGCUGUGGUGCGCCCGGCUGCGCUGUGGCGGGCGGGGAGCGCGUGAGGCGCUGCGGACGGCGGGCUAUGCGCGCUUCGUGCUCAGGGGUGCCACCGGGUGCCACUGGCUGAGGGGUUUGGCACGAAGUGCCGGUGCCUCGAUUCUCAGACUCGCUUACCGCAGGCUGCGUUUCUGUCUCGCACGUAACUGAGGGCAGUUACCAGUUUUUCGUUUUGCUUUUUGUUCCUGCGGUGAACAUCAGAGGAUCAGGUUUAUAUUGAUUUAAAGUCACCUCUAGGGAGAAGUUUAAGGUGAGAAGUGCAGCAACGAUCUCCUAGGAGGCUGCGGUACCUGACACUGCCAUCAAUGUCUGGUUUAGUAUGUGUACACUUUCCAACUCAAUGUACUGUAACUGUUUCUGUUAACAACGGUAUCACUGCGAUCCUGGGCAAAUAAAAGGCAAGAACAAGUUAUUGGUGAACAUAUGGAUGUAAGGUGAGG
RNAcentral lists this long non-coding RNA (1106 nucleotides) under Gallus gallus (chicken). RNAcentral's name for it is "long non-coding RNA NONGGAT012037". The record is from RNAcentral. Lineage: Eukaryota; Metazoa; Chordata; Aves; Galliformes; Phasianidae.